This 350-nucleotide ribosomal RNA is filed under the name Escherichia coli. RNAcentral describes it as "partial 23S ribosomal RNA". It matches the Rfam family "Bacterial large subunit ribosomal RNA", at positions 139 to 527 of the family's 2925-position model. The record is from RNAcentral. Lineage: Bacteria; Pseudomonadati; Pseudomonadota; Gammaproteobacteria; Enterobacterales; Enterobacteriaceae.
UUCGACACACUAUCAUUAACUGAAUCCAUAGGUUAAUGAGGCGAACCGGGGGAACUGAAACAUCUAAGUACCCCGAGGAAAAGAAAUCAACCGAGAUUCCCCCAGUAGCGGCGAGCGAACGGGGAGGAGCCCAGAGCCUGAAUCAGUGUGUGUGUUAGUGGAAGCGUCUGGAAAGGCGCGCGAUACAGGGUGACAGCCCCGUACACAAAAAUGCACAUAUUGUGAGCUCGAUGAGUAGGGCGGGACACGUGGUAUCCUGUCUGAAUAUGGGGGGACCAUCCUCCAAGGCUAAAUACUCCUGACUGACCGAUAGUGAACCAGUACCGUGAGGGAAAGGCGAAAAGAACCCC